GAGGGGUGCAAACGUUAUUCGGAUUUACUGGGCGUAAAGGGUGUGUAGACGGCAUAUUAAGUUCGUUGUUAAAUCUUCCGGCCUAACCGGAAGCUCGCGAUGAAAACUGAUAAGCUUGAGGAUGGAAGAGAGAAGUGGAAUUCUCGGAGUAGCGGUAAAAUGCGUAGAUCUCGAGAGGAACACCGAUGGCGAAGGCAGCUUCUUGGUCCAUUCCUGACGUUGAGACACGAAAGCGUGGGUAGCAAACAGGAUUAGAUACCCUGGUAGUCCACGCCGUAAACGAUGAUCACUGGAUGUUGGUUUCGCUUUGCGAAAUCGGUAUCGAAGCUAACGCGUUAAGUGAUCCGCCUGGGGAAGUACGGUCGCAAGAUUA
Molecule: ribosomal RNA, 373 nt
Filed under: uncultured organism
Description: partial 16S ribosomal RNA
Rfam family: Bacterial small subunit ribosomal RNA
Source: RNAcentral